Molecule: ribosomal RNA, 253 nt
Filed under: uncultured bacterium
Lineage: Bacteria
Description: partial 16S ribosomal RNA
Rfam family: Bacterial small subunit ribosomal RNA
Source: RNAcentral
UACGAGGGGGGCGAGCGUUGUUCGGAAUUAUUGGGCGUAAAGGGUGCGUAGGCGGUUCCGCAAGUCCUGUGUGAAAUCUUCGGGCUCAACUCGAAGUCUGCACGGGAAACUGCGGGGCUUGAGUGUGGGAGAGGUGAGUGGAAUUCCCGGUGUAGCGGUGAAAUGCGUAGAUAUCGGGAGGAACGCCUGUGGCGAAAGCGGCUCACUGGACCAUAACUGACGCUGAGGAGCGAAAGCGUGGGGAGCGAACAGG